CCUCAAUAUAUGACAGGC
This 18-nucleotide unclassified non-coding RNA is filed under the name Chlamydomonas reinhardtii. RNAcentral describes it as "small RNA Cre_1142". Lineage: Eukaryota; Viridiplantae; Chlorophyta; Chlorophyceae; Chlamydomonadales; Chlamydomonadaceae. The record is from RNAcentral.